RNAcentral lists this long non-coding RNA (4562 nucleotides) under Mus musculus (house mouse). Its description in RNAcentral is "long non-coding RNA chr17:10515525-10520087". The record is from RNAcentral. Lineage: Eukaryota; Metazoa; Chordata; Mammalia; Rodentia; Muridae.
CACUAUCCGGUGGGCUGUGUAACUAAAGAGUUGGCCUGUGUCUUUUCUCUUUAUUAGGAGAGACGGUAGUUUACCGAACUUUCAGAUGACUGGUCUGUAUUGUUGGAGGAAGGGCAGGGGCAUCUUUGUCAGGGCAGCAUCUCUGCGUUCUGCACUCCUUCCUUCACUGACAGCUGACAUUUGCAGUAACUGCACCAAAGGCUGGGGUCCAGUCACAGUACAGGCUGCUCCUGAGGGCUCGCCUUCCCAUGGGAGGGACCUCUGCCAGGCUGAUCAAUAAGGUACAGUGAAGUGGAGGAGAAGACAGAAGACAGAGGCACUGACAGACAGAACUGGCACCGAGCAGAGAGUGCACAGUCUCACCUCUAGCAAAGCUGCCCAAAGGCUGGACACUGGCUGGAGACAAAGUUACACACCAGCCUACAGCCCGUGUUGUCAUGAUGUCAUGGUGUCAUGGGACAAAUAAAUGGGAGUGCUUUUCUAAGUGGUGAUGCUAUAGGCUGUGACACAGAAGAUGCGGACCCUGCAACACCAGAUUCUGUAGCAGAAGUUAGUAAAUAAGGGCAGCAGGGUAAGAUGUGUAUUAGAAAGACCACUCUAGUAACGGGGUGCCAGUCAGAAUCAUUUCUCUUCCUCUACAUGCAAGCCCCUGGCCUAAUUCCUGGAGUCCAUGAACAUGGCACAUAUGUGGCAGAGGGGACUACAUUCCUAUGAAUAUCAUGGUCUUGAGAUGCUGAAGGCCUCUGCCAUCUGGGACACUCUACUGUAAUUACCAUGAGUCUUAUAAUCGAUGAAAGCAAAAGUGUCUGAAGGCUGUCCUACGGCCAGCUCUGCAGCAGCAGGGAAGGACUGUGUAGGGGACGGAUGCAAGGCCAGGCAAGGAUGUGCACCUUCACACAGGGAUUAUAGAAAGGAGCACCACUCUGGAGGCCUGUGAUUUUAACACACUCAGGCCUGCUCUGGACAGCUGGGCUCCAGAGUCUGAGGACAACACAAGGGUUCUGUUUGAGGCCAUGUGCUUUGUAAAUCUGUUAGACGACAACAAUGGAAAAUCAACCAAAAUGGUUGGGAAGGGAGACCGGAGUAAGGUAAUCCGGUGCACAGGAGUCCCAUGAUCAGGGCAUCACAGUGAGGGUGGAUUGGGAGAAAAUGUAAAAGUCCUGUGAAUGUGUGUGUGUGUGUGUGUGUACACGUGUAUGCUAGCUACUUCCAGGGCACUUAAGAGCAUCCAUGCACCUAGUUUCUAGCAAACGUUGAGCCUUUGUUGAGGGCAGUAGCUUGACACAUGUAGGACUGUAGAACAUGGGUCAUGGCCAUGCAAAACAUGAGUUUACUACUGUGGUUGACACAUGAAGUGCAGGUGUACAGUUAACUGUAAGUGAAGAAUCAAUAGCAAUGGCAGGAGCUGUCGCUCAGUGGUAGAUCGCUUGUCCUCAUGCGAUCCCAGCACCACUAAACAAAACACAGGAAAAUGGCAAAAAUGUUUUAAUAUAAAAAUUUCAAAGUUUGCAUGGUAUAUACGGAAAACUUAUAUUUACUCUUCAUCCAGAAUUCACAUUAACAGGGUACUUUGACUAUUUACUUGGGAAAGUGGCUGGACAGCAUGUAACCGAGAGGCAGAUCUAGAUGUGGGAUCUGGUGAUUGCCGGUGAACUACCGUGGCUGGAACCGUCAGAGCGCCGCCCUGAGCUGCCUGAACAGACCUGGUGUUUAUGCCUAAUUCUGCCACAAUGCCAUCCUGGCUGCAGACAUGCUUUCUCUCUGGCCUCUCUCCUCCCAUAAGCCUGUGCCAGGGCUGACUGCUAAGGGUGCUGCCAUUUACGUUGGCCUGGAUCUAGGUAUCCCAGAGAGGACUUGGAAGGGUUAACAUCAGAGUGUUCCUUCUGCAUAUCCCCUCAAAUGGUCACCUCCUUUUGGAGACACAGCAUCACUGGGUCAAAGUUGCAUUGGCUCCCUGAGUAGGUCUUAUGCUCUUUGUCUUCUGACCAUUGCUUGGAAUCGUUCACCUCAUCUGUCCAGGUUGUGUUUGGCCUGUGGAGCCCCAUGGUGUGGCCGAGAACCGUGCUGUCUGAGGUGGGGUUAGCUCCAUGCAUCUUACACUCAGUAGCAAUUGGGUUGCUAAGCCAUAAAACGAUCGGCUAUUUUCCUGACUGUACUCUGUUUUCUCUCAUCAAAACCUCUUCAUCUUUUCACCAUGCUGAAGUCUAAUUGGUUUUCUUUCUUAUCUUUUAUUUACGGGAUUAUUACCAUUCAAGACAGUGGCUUGCGUUUAUCUUUAUUGACUUCCAUUGCAUGUAAUUGGGCCAUCCAUCCAGUUUGCCUAUAUCAUUUUGGAUGCUUCGAAUUGUCAAGUGCCACAGAUCUAAACGAUGUAGAAGACUCCCACUUUAGAAACUCCAAGAGUUCUUAUGAUUAUGUUGGAAACAAUGGCAAAAUUCAUUUCUUUUGUAUUUUAAAACAUAUUACCUAAAAUUGCUUGCUGAAUAGAUUGGAAAACAACUCUAAAAGUAGCGUUUCAGUUAAAAUACCCAUCAGGACAAUUUUCCAAGUGGAUUUCCAGAAUCACGUGGAUGAAUGAAACAAAACCAAUAAAAGGGUCUUUUUCUCUACCUCUCCCCACCCCCCACCCCAACCAGCUCCUUAUCAGCCCUGGGCAUCUUUCAGCUGCAGACCCAGGCCUGGCAGCCACACCUGCCCUGGUGGUCACAGGCAUAGGGAUUCUUGAUGACACUUUUGGCUUAAAAGCUAAACCUCAAUCUGAAGAGUAAAAAGCCAGGCGGCCGUUCCUCACAGCGGGAGUUUCUAGCCAGCAUCUAAGCAGACACACAAGUUAUUCUAAGUAGAAAUGUGUCCAUAAAUGUCACAAACUGUCUCCAUUUCCCUUUAUCAUCCUCUAACAACCUCAUCAAGACUGCAUGAUUAUUUCACGAGGCUGAGGAUACUGGCACUCACUGCCACAGCCCAGCAGGAGUCCUGCUUGACCUCUGCCUUACACGGACCUAAGCACAAAUGGGCCACAUUCAAGGGGAGGAAUGCCAAGGGACACACUGGCGGAAGACAGUUGUGACUUCUGCCUGGAAAUAACAUUGUUGGGCUGUCAGUCUGCAUGAAGCCAUUGUUUUUCAAAGUCAUGUUGUUGGUGCCAGUUGCCAAUGGUGCUGGACACCUUCCUGCAGAUGAAACUUUGGAGCAGGCUUCUUCGGCUUUCCUUGUUUCUAUAUGGGGUCCUGCAAGGAGGAGUAGGAUGCUCACCCACCAUCAAGUUAGGGAUGGCGAUGUCAAAGGUGAACCCUGAUGUGGUCAUGUCUGCAGGUGCAACUAGCUUUUUUUCUAAUGUCUGGGCAUGGGUCUACUUCAGGGAGUGGGCCAAUGACACUAGCCCUCUGAGAAUGCCCCUGAGGAGCUGGGAUAAAUUCCAAUGGCCAAGUGGCCAUUACCAUUACCAUCCCAAGCAUCUAUAUAUAAACCAUAUUACAUCAUACUAGAACCAACAUUGAGCUCAGGCUGUCCUCUGCAGGGACCACAUAGGUAACAGACCUAAGGAAGGGAUUUUACUGCUUCUCUUAAACAAAGGCCCCGAAGCCACAGAGAAAGCACUUCGCUCCACAAAUAGCCACACAAGGUCCCCAAAUAUGUUUCCUUUUUCUUGGUAAUUAGCUAAAGAUGAAAUAAUGCUUGAACACUUCAUAAUCUUAAAUUCAUAAUAUUUUACUUAAUUAAAAUAGGUAAUUUAGAAAAAUAAUUGGUAAUUGCUGAAACCUCUAAUGCUGAUGAGAACUGAGCUGGAAGUGUUCUUUCUUCACAAAUUGGUACUUAAAAUAUAAAGUUCCACACACAGCUGGAAAGUGCCAUCGUAAUUUGGCAUUUAUGUUCAGUAACUAUCAUUAAACCAAAUAAACUGAAAUUAAAGAAGAAAGACGGUGGGCUUCAGGACACAUUCAGGGCAGAUGCCAAGGGCUUCAAAGUAUAAAUGUGGCUUUCUAAGCAUUUAUUAGGAGCAUUGGAGAACAGGCCUAGGAAUUUCUUACACAUUGCUUUUAUUUUAUACUCUGCUGUGAAAAUACAGCUUUGGUAAUAUCUGAGUUCAGGUGGAGAACAAGCUCAGUGGAAAUUCUCCUUCACCACAGAACAGUGCGAGUGGGCAGGCUUGGAGUGUAGAUGUGCGUUUUCAAAUGAGCCUUUUCCUUCCGACAUCCACAAACGCUGGUGCUGGCUUGAAUAGAGGCAGAGGAAUCACGGCUGGAAAAGAAAACCAGCCUUUUUGCACAUUUUAUUUUUUUCUUGAGGGAGGAAAAAAAACCCUCCUGUGACAUUCCAUACCACAGCAGAGACUCGUGGUAAAUUCACAGGAAAACCUGAGAACAACACACCCUCUGGAGAGCUUAUUUGUUUAGUGGGAGGCUGUCUUUUUCAGUCCUGGAACAAAAGUCUGUUGACUAGGAUGGCAGAGGGAGGGAGGAGGGCAGGCCACUCUAUGCGACGGAAUUUGUUAUCGCUUUUCUACCUGGCAACACAUUAAAAAAACGUAAGAUUUCAAGCAAUAGUCUAAAGAGCAAGGAAUU